RNAcentral lists this ribosomal RNA (453 nucleotides) under uncultured bacterium. RNAcentral describes it as "partial 16S ribosomal RNA". It matches the Rfam family "Bacterial small subunit ribosomal RNA", at positions 341 to 792 of the family's 1533-position model. The record is from RNAcentral.
ACGGAAGGCAGCAGUGAGGAAUAUUGGUCAAUGGGCGGAAGCCUGAACCAGCCAAGUCGCGUGAAGGAUGAAGGUAUUAUGUAUUGUAAACUUCUUUAGACGUAGAGAAAUAAGCCCCUCGUGAGGGGUGAUGCUAGUAUACGUAGAAUAAGGAUCGGCUAACUCCGUGCCAGCAGCCGCGGUAAUACGGAGGAUCCGAGCGUUAUCCGGAUUUAUUGGGUUUAAAGGGUGCGCAGGCGGCCCUGUAAGUCAGCGGUAAAAUCGUGGAGCUCAACUCCAUCCCGCCGUUGAUACUGCAGGGCUUGAUUGCGGUCGAGGUUGGCGGAAUUCGCCGUGUAGCGGUGAAAUGCAUAGAUAUGGCGAAGAACUCCGAUUGCGUAGGCAGCUGACCAGGCCGUAAAUGACGCUCAUGCACGAAAGUGCGGGGAUCGAACAGGAUUAGAUACCCUGGUA